This 2904-nucleotide ribosomal RNA is filed under the name Escherichia coli 2-052-05_S4_C3. RNAcentral's name for it is "bacterial LSU rRNA". It matches the Rfam family "Bacterial large subunit ribosomal RNA". Lineage: Bacteria; Pseudomonadati; Pseudomonadota; Gammaproteobacteria; Enterobacterales; Enterobacteriaceae. The record is from RNAcentral.
UUAAGCGACUAAGCGUACACGGUGGAUGCCCUGGCAGUCAGAGGCGAUGAAGGACGUGCUAAUCUGCGAUAAGCGUCGGUAAGGUGAUAUGAACCGUUAUAACCGGCGAUUUCCAAAUGGGGAAACCCAGUGUGAUUCGACACACUAUCAUUAACUGAAUCCAUAGGUUAAUGAGGCGAACCGGGGGAACUGAAACAUCUAAGUACCCCGAGGAAAAGAAAUCAACCGAGAUUCCCCCAGUAGCGGCGAGCGAACGGGGAGCAGCCCAGAGCCUGAAUCAGUGUGUGUGUUAGUGGAAGCGUCUGGAAAGGCGCGCGAUACAGGGUGACAGCCCCGUACACAAAAAUGCACAUGCUGUGAGCUCGAUGAGUAGGGCGGGACACGUGGUAUCCUGUCUGAAUAUGGGGGGACCAUCCUCCAAGGCUAAAUACUCCUGACUGACCGAUAGUGAACCAGUACCGUGAGGGAAAGGCGAAAAGAACCCCGGCGAGGGGAGUGAAAAAGAACCUGAAACCGUGUACGUACAAGCAGUGGGAGCACGCUUCGGCGUGUGACUGCGUACCUUUUGUAUAAUGGGUCAGCGACUUAUAUUCUGUAGCAAGGUUAACCGAAUAGGGGAGCCGAAGGGAAACCGAGUCUUAACUGGGCGUUAAGUUGCAGGGUAUAGACCCGAAACCCGGUGAUCUAGCCAUGGGCAGGUUGAAGGUUGGGUAACACUAACUGGAGGACCGAACCGACUAAUGUUGAAAAAUUAGCGGAUGACUUGUGGCUGGGGGUGAAAGGCCAAUCAAACCGGGAGAUAGCUGGUUCUCCCCGAAAGCUAUUUAGGUAGCGCCUCGUGAAUUCAUCUCCGGGGGUAGAGCACUGUUUCGGCAAGGGGGUCAUCCCGACUUACCAACCCGAUGCAAACUGCGAAUACCGGAGAAUGUUAUCACGGGAGACACACGGCGGGUGCUAACGUCCGUCGUGAAGAGGGAAACAACCCAGACCGCCAGCUAAGGUCCCAAAGUCAUGGUUAAGUGGGAAACGAUGUGGGAAGGCCCAGACAGCCAGGAUGUUGGCUUAGAAGCAGCCAUCAUUUAAAGAAAGCGUAAUAGCUCACUGGUCGAGUCGGCCUGCGCGGAAGAUGUAACGGGGCUAAACCAUGCACCGAAGCUGCGGCAGCGACGCUUAUGCGUUGUUGGGUAGGGGAGCGUUCUGUAAGCCUGCGAAGGUGUGCUGUGAGGCAUGCUGGAGGUAUCAGAAGUGCGAAUGCUGACAUAAGUAACGAUAAAGCGGGUGAAAAGCCCGCUCGCCGGAAGACCAAGGGUUCCUGUCCAACGUUAAUCGGGGCAGGGUGAGUCGACCCCUAAGGCGAGGCCGAAAGGCGUAGUCGAUGGGAAACAGGUUAAUAUUCCUGUACUUGGUGUUACUGCGAAGGGGGGACGGAGAAGGCUAUGUUGGCCGGGCGACGGUUGUCCCGGUUUAAGCGUGUAGGCUGGUUUUCCAGGCAAAUCCGGAAAAUCAAGGCUGAGGCGUGAUGACGAGGCACUACGGUGCUGAAGCAACAAAUGCCCUGCUUCCAGGAAAAGCCUCUAAGCAUCAGGUAACAUCAAAUCGUACCCCAAACCGACACAGGUGGUCAGGUAGAGAAUACCAAGGCGCUUGAGAGAACUCGGGUGAAGGAACUAGGCAAAAUGGUGCCGUAACUUCGGGAGAAGGCACGCUGAUAUGUAGGUGAAGUCCCUUGCGGAUGGAGCUGAAAUCAGUCGAAGAUACCAGCUGGCUGCAACUGUUUAUUAAAAACACAGCACUGUGCAAACACGAAAGUGGACGUAUACGGUGUGACGCCUGCCCGGUGCCGGAAGGUUAAUUGAUGGGGUUAGCCGCAAGGCGAAGCUCUUGAUCGAAGCCCCGGUAAACGGCGGCCGUAACUAUAACGGUCCUAAGGUAGCGAAAUUCCUUGUCGGGUAAGUUCCGACCUGCACGAAUGGCGUAAUGAUGGCCAGGCUGUCUCCACCCGAGACUCAGUGAAAUUGAACUCGCUGUGAAGAUGCAGUGUACCCGCGGCAAGACGGAAAGACCCCGUGAACCUUUACUAUAGCUUGACACUGAACAUUGAGCCUUGAUGUGUAGGAUAGGUGGGAGGCUUUGAAGUGUGGACGCCAGUCUGCAUGGAGCCGACCUUGAAAUACCACCCUUUAAUGUUUGAUGUUCUAACGUUGACCCGUAAUCCGGGUUGCGGACAGUGUCUGGUGGGUAGUUUGACUGGGGCGGUCUCCUCCUAAAGAGUAACGGAGGAGCACGAAGGUUGGCUAAUCCUGGUCGGACAUCAGGAGGUUAGUGCAAUGGCAUAAGCCAGCUUGACUGCGAGCGUGACGGCGCGAGCAGGUGCGAAAGCAGGUCAUAGUGAUCCGGUGGUUCUGAAUGGAAGGGCCAUCGCUCAACGGAUAAAAGGUACUCCGGGGAUAACAGGCUGAUACCGCCCAAGAGUUCAUAUCGACGGCGGUGUUUGGCACCUCGAUGUCGGCUCAUCACAUCCUGGGGCUGAAGUAGGUCCCAAGGGUAUGGCUGUUCGCCAUUUAAAGUGGUACGCGAGCUGGGUUUAGAACGUCGUGAGACAGUUCGGUCCCUAUCUGCCGUGGGCGCUGGAGAACUGAGGGGGGCUGCUCCUAGUACGAGAGGACCGGAGUGGACGCAUCACUGGUGUUCGGGUUGUCAUGCCAAUGGCACUGCCCGGUAGCUAAAUGCGGAAGAGAUAAGUGCUGAAAGCAUCUAAGCACGAAACUUGCCCCGAGAUGAGUUCUCCCUGACCCUUUAAGGGUCCUGAAGGAACGUUGAAGACGACGACGUUGAUAGGCCGGGUGUGUAAGCGCAGCGAUGCGUUGAGCUAACCGGUACUAAUGAACCGUGAGGCUUAACCUU